This 85-nucleotide microRNA precursor is filed under the name Musca domestica (house fly). RNAcentral's name for it is "mir-263 microRNA precursor family". It matches the Rfam family "mir-263 microRNA precursor family". Lineage: Eukaryota; Metazoa; Arthropoda; Insecta; Diptera; Muscidae. The record is from Rfam by way of RNAcentral.
UCAGCACAGUUAAUGGCACUGGAAGAAUUCACGGGAGUUUUUAAUGUACUUUCCCGUGAUCUCUUAGUGGCAUCUAUGGUGCAGG